Molecule: long non-coding RNA, 1884 nt
Organism: Prionailurus viverrinus (fishing cat)
Lineage: Eukaryota; Metazoa; Chordata; Mammalia; Carnivora; Felidae
Exons: 6
Source: RefSeq, a predicted model, not a curated record
UCAGACAGCCCCGCUCAGACGCCCGCCCUUGGCGGGAGGGUGGGGGGAACACGGUCGCCGGAAAGGGGGCGGGGCCCAUGGAGGGUCUGGCCCGCCCCUUCCCCCCAAAAAAGACCUAGCCGGUGGCAGCGUCUCCCGGGAGUCCGCUUCCUGCCCCGCCCCUCCGCCCCUUGGCUCCUUAAAGGCGCAGGCCUCCAUCCUGGCUCCCACUGCUGCCAACUCCUGAGCCACCGUCGGCCGAUCCCCUUUAACCUGGGAGAGAACUUUCACUUUGCUCAAUUGAACCUGUGCCUGGGUCAGUCCCUACAAGCUCCUUCCUCUAUUUCCAAUAAGCAUUGGUUUAACCCAGCUGGACCAAAGCUUGGGAUACGGAAUGGGCUCUGUGGGGGCUUUCCCGACUAGGUAAAUAUAGUGACUAAGAGACACCCCCCCACACCCAACAGUGUCUCUAGACCCCUCCAGGAACCCCAUAAGUCAUCCUCCAAACUGCCCGACUUCUCCCGUCACUCAGCUCUAGAAAUGAGGGAAGAAAAAAAGGAGACAUGGAGUCUCAAUAGAGUUGAAACCAACUGGCAUCCGCUUGUAUAGAGUGAGUGAAUGUGCAGCAUUCGUGCCCCUGGGUCACAGCCGUAAGAGCCCUUGUCCUCUACUCUGACGCUUCAUGGACUGGCACGUGAUGAAGAUCCUGGGAUUCGUCCACCUCUUGGUAUUAUGAAGAAUGCUAUUACGAACAUGGAUGCACAAAUAUCUUUUGAGGCCCUUGCUUUCAAUUCUUUCAUAUAUCCAGAUAUGGACGAGCUGGAUCAUAUGGCUCCUCUCUGGACGUGCUUCCUGAUCUGUGUAACGCGGAAACCCAACAACCAAGGAGCUGAGGUGCUGGCAUUGUACUGGCGACACUGGGCACACAGUAUGUGAGUGAUCCUUACUUGAAUCCUGUGACAAGCAGGGAGGGUUCAGCCCUCUGAAGACCUUGGCAGAUAAGGCACCAUUGGACCCUUCAGACCUCUCUUCUGGCUUUAUAGGACCAGACUGCCUUCUCCUGAUUGGGGAAGAAUGACCAGAGAUCUAGGAAUGUCUUAAGAUCCCUGAGCCACCGUGUGAGGAGACUGACUACCUACUGGAGGGGCCACACUGAGAAGCCCCUGGACUACAUGGAAAAGAGGGGUCUAGGAAGGAUGGCCUUCCAGCAACCCCUGCCCAAGGGCCAAGCACAUGAGUAAAACCAUCUUGGAUGUUCAAGACCAGCUCAGACAUAAGCUGAACACUACCAAGUGACCCUAGCCACUGCCACGUGGAGCAGAAGGGUUAUCCAUCUGAGUCUUGCCCAAAUUCCUGACUCAUAAAAAUCUUGAAAUUUAAUAAGAUAGCUAUUAAGUCACUACAUCCAUUUGAUUUUUUAACUUCGCAUUUUGGAAUAAUCUUUGACUUACAAAAAAAUUGCAAAAGUAGUAAAGAGAGUUCCCAUAUACUUUUCAUCCAUGUUCCCUGAAUGUUGGCCUCUUACAUAACCAAACACAUUUUGGCCAGAAAAUCAGAGGAGCAUUGGCCCUUUCUGAGUGUAUCAUAUCAAGGGGUAUGUGAUGUGCAAUAUGUCCUAUUGCUAGCAAUAGUUUGGUUAAGGUGGUUUCUCUCCAUAUAGUUAUUAGUUUUCCCUUUGUGAGUAAUCAGUAUUUUGUGGGAAAAUACUUUGACACUAUGCUUAUAUCCUCAUCACACUGUCCUCCCAUCCCAUCUUGCCUGCAACAAUAAGCCACAAAGCUAGGAGAUGGGUGCAGCAAUAGAAAACUGAUAAUACUGUGACAGUUAGUGUUGCCUUUUCCAGGCUCUGAGAAAUAAUUUGGGUUAUCGUCUUUUUUUCUGUUUAUUUAUUUUUGAGAGAGAGAC